UACGUAGGGCGCGAGCGUUGUCCGGAAUUAUUGGGCGUAAAGAGCUCGUAGGCGGUCUGUCGCGUCUGGUGUGAAAAUCCAGGGCUUAACCCUGGACCUGCAUCGGGUACGGGCAGACUAGAGUGCGGUAGGGGAGAUCGGAAUUCCUGGUGUAGCGGUGAAAUGCGCAGAUAUCAGGAGGAACACCGGUGGCGAAGGCGGAUCUCUGGGCCGUAACUGACGCUGAGGAGCGAAAGCAUGGGGAGCGAACAGG
This 253-nucleotide ribosomal RNA is filed under the name uncultured bacterium. RNAcentral describes it as "partial 16S ribosomal RNA". It matches the Rfam family "Bacterial small subunit ribosomal RNA", at positions 524 to 776 of the family's 1533-position model. The record is from RNAcentral.